Molecule: ribosomal RNA, 1372 nt
Filed under: uncultured bacterium
Lineage: Bacteria
Description: bacterial SSU rRNA
Rfam family: Bacterial small subunit ribosomal RNA
Source: RNAcentral
GAUGAACGCUGGCGGCGUGCCUAAUACAUGCAAGUCGAGCGAACGGACGAGAAGCUUGCUUCUCUGAUGUUAGCGGCGGACGGGUGAGUAACACGUGGAUAACCUACCUAUAAGACUGGGAUAACUUCGGGAAACCGUAGCUAAUACCGGAUAAUAUUUUGAACCGCAUGGUUCAAAAGUGAAAGACGGUCUUGCUGUCACUUAUAGAUGGAUCCGCGCUGCAUUAGCUAGUUGGUAAGGUAACGGCUUACCAAGGCAACGAUGCAUAGCCGACCUGAGAGGGUGAUCGGCCACACUGGAACUGAGACACGGUCCAGACUCCUACGGGAGGCAGCAGUAGGGAAUCUUCCGCAAUGGGCGAAAGCCUGACGGAGCAACGCCGCGUGAGUGAUGAAGGUCUUCGGGUCGUAAAACUCUGUUAUUAGGGAAGAACAUAUGUGUAAGUAACUGUGCACAUCUUGACGGUACCUAAUCAGAAAGCCACGGCUAACUACGCGCCAGCAGCCGCGGUAAUACGUAGGUGGCAAGCGUUAUCCGGAAUUAUUGGGCGUAAAGCGCGCGUAGGCGGUUUUUUAAGUCUGAUGUGAAAGCCCACGGCUCAACCGUGGAGGGUCAUUGGAAACUGGAAAACUUGAGUGCAGAAGAGGAAAGUGGAAUUCCAUGUGUAGCGGUGAAAUGCGCAGAGAUAUGGAGGAACACCAGUGGCGAAGGCGACUUUCUGGUCUGUAACUGACGCUGAUGUGCGAAAGCGUGGGGAUCAAACAGGAUUAGAUACCCUGGUAGUCCACGCCGUAAACGAUGAGUGCUAAGUGUUAGGGGGUUUCCGCCCCUUAGUGCUGCAGCUAACGCAUUAAGCACUCCGCCUGGGGAGUACGACCGCAAGGUUGAAACUCAAAGGAAUUGACGGGGACCCGCACAAGCGGUGGAGCAUGUGGUUUAAUUCGAAGCGACGCGAAGAACCUUACCAAAUCUUGACAUCCUUUGACAACUCUAGAGAUAGAGCCUUCCCCUUCGGGGGACAAAGUGACAGGUGGUGCAUGGUUGUCGUCAGCUCGUGUCGUGAGAUGUUGGGUUAAGUCCCGCAACGAGCGCAACCCUUAAGCUUAGUUGCCAUCAUUAAGUUGGGCACUCUAAGUUGACUGCCGGUGACAAACCGGAGGAAGGUGGGGAUGACGUCAAAUCAUCAUGCCCCUUAUGAUUUGGGCUACACACGUGCUACAAUGGACAAUACAAAGGGCAGCGAAACCGCGAGGUCAAGCAAAUCCCAUAAAGUUGUUCUCAGUUCGGAUUGUAGUCUGCAACUCGACUACAUGAAGCUGGAAUCGCUAGUAAUCGUAGAUCAGCAUGCUACGGUGAAUACGUUCCCGGGUCU